GUGGGGAAUAUUCCGCAAUGGACGAAAGUCUGACGGAGCAACGCCGCGUGAGUGAUGAAGGUUUUCGGACUGUAAAGCUCUGUUGUUUGGGACGAAAGUGCCUGUUGCGAACAGUUACGGGUAUUGACGGUACUAAACGAGGAAGCCACGGCUAACUACGUGCCAGCAGCCGCGGUAAUACGUAGGUGGCAAGCGUUGUCCGGAAUUAUUGGGCGUAAAGAGCAUGUAGGCGGGAAUCUAAGUCUGUUGUUAAAAUGCGGGGCUCAACCCCGUAUUGCGAUGGAAACUGGGUUUCUUGAGUGCAGGAGAGGAAAGGGGAAUUCCCAGUGUAGCGGUGAAAUGCGUAGAUAUUGGGAGGAACACCAGUGGCGAAGGCGCCUUUCUGGACUGUGUCUGACGCUGAGAUGCGAAAGCCAGGGUAGCGAACGGGAUUAGAUACCCGGGUAGUCC
Molecule: ribosomal RNA, 450 nt
Filed under: uncultured bacterium
Lineage: Bacteria
Description: partial 16S ribosomal RNA
Rfam family: Bacterial small subunit ribosomal RNA
Source: RNAcentral